GCGGAAGUGGUGGAACUGGUAGACACACCAUCUUGAGGGGGUGGCGCCGAGAGGCGUGCGGGUUCAAGUCCCGCCUUCCGCACUA
Molecule: transfer RNA, 85 nt
Filed under: Ignavibacteria bacterium
Lineage: Bacteria; Pseudomonadati; Ignavibacteriota; Ignavibacteria
Description: tRNA-Leu
Rfam family: tRNA
About the family: Transfer RNA (tRNA) molecules are approximately 80 nucleotides in length. Their secondary structure includes four short double-helical elements and three loops (D, anti-codon, and T loops).
Source: RNAcentral